RNAcentral lists this long non-coding RNA (1066 nucleotides) under Meriones unguiculatus (Mongolian gerbil). Its description in RNAcentral is "lncRNA (ENSMUGG00000005140.1)". Lineage: Eukaryota; Metazoa; Chordata; Mammalia; Rodentia; Muridae. The record is from RNAcentral.
GGCAGCUUCUACCGUUUAUUGCGCUCGGGACCCGGGCGGGGCUCGAACCCGGGUCGGACAGCGUCUGGGCGGGGCGAAAAAUAGAGGACUCUGCUGUACAGGGGGCGGCGGGGAGGCCCGGGGGGCGACUGCGCGUGCGCGGGCAACUGCGCAGGCGCGGAGAAACCGAGAAUGGCGAGCGCGCAUGUGCUGGAGUCCGGAACUGUCACUGCGCAGGCGCAAGAGGCCGCAAAGUCACUGCGCAGUCGCGGAGAGCCGGAACAGUCUUUGUACGCAUGCCCGGGCCUCUGCGCAGGCGCCGUACUCUCGGGCGACCCGGAACAGUGCAUAUGCGCAGGCGCAGUCCGCCCGGAGCUUCUCUGUGUGCGCAGUCGCAGUCCACUCUGUUGGGGGGGGAAAUCCAGGGGUCUCUACGCAGGCGCAGUCCGACCCGGCGACCCGGAACAGUCUCGGCGCAGGCGCCUCCAGCCCGGAAACGUCUCUGUGCGCAGGCGCAGUCCGCUCCAGGGCCCGGAACAGUCUGUGCGCGCAGGCGCAGUGCACCCGGGCGACCCGGAAGUCUCCUCGCGCAGGCGCGGUCCGCGUCUCCGGCCCCGCCCCCCGCCGAGGCCCCGCCCCCGGGCUGGGCGGGGCCGGCGGAGGGGGCGGGGCUACAGGAGGACGCAGCAGUGGCUCUCGCCCGUCUUCUCGCGGUUCCUCUGACCUGGGGGGGGGGGGAGAAGCGCGUCGGCGGGCGGGAGCGGCCGCGGGUUCGCGUCCCGGGAGGGGAGGAUCGCGGGUUCGCGUCCCGGGGGAGGAGGAUCGGGGGGUUCAGCGUCCUGGGUCCACGGGUCCCCGGGUUCCAGUCCCCUGUCCUCCCUCGCUCUCCCUCCUCCCCAUUCUCCAUCUUCGCCCCUCCCUGCUCUCGGUCCUCCCCUCUGUUCUACUCCUCGCACAAUCCUCCCCCUCCUCCUCCUCGCACAGUCUUCCCCCUCCUCCCCCCUCCUCUCCGUCCUCCCUCUCCCUCCUCCUCCCCCCUUCCUCCCCCUCCUCUCCAUCCUCCUCCUCUCCGUCCUCCCUCUCCCUC